This 79-nucleotide microRNA precursor is filed under the name Mayetiola destructor (Hessian fly). Its description in RNAcentral is "mir-1 microRNA precursor family". It matches the Rfam family "mir-1 microRNA precursor family". From Rfam's summary of the family: This family represents the microRNA (miRNA) mir-1 family. miRNAs are transcribed as ~70nt precursors (modelled here) and subsequently processed by the Dicer enzyme to give a ~22nt product. In this case the mature sequence comes from the 3' arm of the precursor. Lineage: Eukaryota; Metazoa; Arthropoda; Insecta; Diptera; Cecidomyiidae. The record is from RNAcentral.
ACGAAAGUUCCAUUCUUCCUUGCAUUCGAUAGUCUUACAAAUAUGUCGUAUGGAAUGUAAAGAAGUAUGGAGCGAUUCG